RNAcentral lists this ribosomal RNA (2895 nucleotides) under Xanthomonas cucurbitae. Its description in RNAcentral is "bacterial LSU rRNA". It matches the Rfam family "Bacterial large subunit ribosomal RNA". Lineage: Bacteria; Pseudomonadati; Pseudomonadota; Gammaproteobacteria; Lysobacterales; Lysobacteraceae. The record is from RNAcentral.
GUUAUAUGGUCAAGCGAAUAAGCGCACACGGUGGAUGCCUAGGCGGUCAGAGGCGAUGAAGGACGUGGUAGCCUGCGAAAAGUGUCGGGGAGCUGGCAACAAGCUUUGAUCCGGCAAUGUCCGAAUGGGGAAACCCACUGCUUCGGCAGUAUCCUGCAGUGAAUUCAUAGCUGCUGGAAGCGAACCCGGUGAACUGAAAUAUCUAAGUAACCGGAGGAAAAGAAAUCAACCGAGAUUCCCUAAGUAGUGACGAGCGAACGGGGAACAGCCCUUAAGCUGGAAUGGCUUUAGAAAAACAAUCUGGAAAGAUUGGCCAUAGAAGGUGAUAGCCCUGUAUUUAAAAGGGCCACUCCAGUGAAGACGAGUAGGGCGGGGCACGUGAAACCCUGUCUGAAUAUGGGGGGACCAUCCUCCAAGGCUAAAUACUCCUGACCGACCGAUAGUGAACCAGUACCGUGAGGGAAAGGCGAAAAGAACCCCGGAGAGGGGAGUGAAAUAGAUCCUGAAACCGUGUGCGUACAAGCAGUAGGAGCUCGCAAGAGUGACUGCGUACCUUUUGUAUAAUGGGUCAGCGACUUACUGUUCGUGGCAAGCUUAACCGUAUAGGGGAGGCGAAGGGAAACCGAGUCUGAUAAGGGCGCAUAGUCGCGGGCAGUAGACCCGAAACCGGGUGAUCUAGUCAUGGCCAGGGUGAAGGUGCCGUAACAGGUACUGGAGGCCCGAACCCACGUCUGUUGCAAAAGACGGGGAUGAGCUGUGAUUAGGAGUGAAAAGCUAAUCGAACCCGGAGAUAGCUGGUUCUCCUCGAAAGCUAUUUAGGUAGCGCCUCGGACGAAUACUACUGGGGGUAGAGCACUGUUAUGGCUAGGGGGUCAUCGCGACUUACCAAACCAUUGCAAACUCCGAAUACCAGUACGUACUAUCCGGGAGACACACGGCGGGUGCUAACGUCCGUCGUGAAAAGGGAAACAACCCAGACCCACAGCUAAGGUCCCAAAUUCACUGCUAAGUGGAAAACGAUGUGGAAAGGCAUAGACAGCCAGGAGGUUGGCUUAGAAGCAGCCACCCUUUAAAGAAAGCGUAAUAGCUCACUGGUCGAGUCGGUCUGCGCGGAAGAUUUAACGGGGCUAAGCAGUGAACCGAAGCUUGGGGUGCAUAAAACUUGUUUUAUGCGCGGUAGAGGAGCGUUCCGUAAGCCUGCGAAGGUGGAUUGAGAAGUCUGCUGGAGGUAUCGGAAGUGCGAAUGCUGACAUGAGUAACGAUAAUGCGGGUGAAAAGCCCGCACGCCGAAAGCCCAAGGUUUCCUUGCGCAACGUUAAUCGACGCAGGGUUAGUCGGUCCCUAAGGCGAGGGCGAAAGCCGUAGUCGAUGGGAAGCAGGUUAAUAUUCCUGCACCUCGCGUGAGUGCGAUGGAGGGACGGAGAAGGUUAGGUGUACCGGGCGUUGGUUGUCCCGGGGAAAGGCGGUAGGUUUGGAUCUUUGGCAAAUCCGGGAUCCUUUAAGACCGAGCACCGAGACGAGCCUUUAUGGCGAAGUCACUGAUACCACGCUUCCAGGAAAAGCUCCUAAGCUUCAGCUCACGAAGACCGUACCGUAAACCGACACAGGUGGGUAGGAUGAGAAUUCUCAGGCGCUUGAGAGAACUCGGGUGAAGGAACUAGGCAACAUGGCACCGUAACUUCGGGAGAAGGUGCACCCUUUUUGGUGGCUCGUGCGAGCUAUAGCUGAAGAGGGUCGCAGAAACCAGGCCGCUGCGACUGUUUAUCAAAAACACAGCACUCUGCAAACACGAAAGUGGACGUAUAGGGUGUGACGCCUGCCCGGUGCUGGAAGGUUAAUUGAUGGGGUCAGCCGCAAGGCGAAGCUCUUGAUCGAAGCCCCAGUAAACGGCGGCCGUAACUAUAACGGUCCUAAGGUAGCGAAAUUCCUUGUCGGGUAAGUUCCGACCUGCACGAAUGGCGUAACGACAGCGGCGCUGUCUCCACCCGAGACUCAGUGAAAUUGAAAUCGCUGUGAAGAUGCAGCGUUCCCGUGGCAAGACGGAAAGACCCCGUGAACCUUUACUAUAGCUUUACACUGAACGUUGAGUUCGUCUGUGUAGGAUAGGUGGGAGGCUAUGAAACUGUGGCGCUAGCUGCAGUGGAGCCAUCCUUGAAAUACCACCCUGUCGUGCUUGACGUUCUAACCUAGAUCCGUUAUCCGGAUCAGGGACCGUGUAUGGUGGGUAGUUUGACUGGGGCGGUCUCCUCCUAAAGAGUAACGGAGGAGCACGAAGGUACGCUCAGCGCGGUCGGACAUCGCGCACUGUGUGCAAAGGCAUAAGCGUGCUUGACUGCAAGAUCGACGGAUCAAGCAGGUACGAAAGUAGGUCUUAGUGAUCCGGUGGUUCUGUAUGGAAGGGCCAUCGCUCAACGGAUAAAAGGUACUCCGGGGAUAACAGGCUGAUACCGCCCAAGAGUUCAUAUCGACGGCGGUGUUUGGCACCUCGAUGUCGGCUCAUCACAUCCUGGGGCUGUAGUCGGUCCCAAGGGUAUGGCUGUUCGCCAUUUAAAGUGGUACGCGAGCUGGGUUCAGAACGUCGUGAGACAGUUCGGUCCCUAUCUGCCAUGGGCGUUGGAAGUUUGAGAGGGGCUGCUCCUAGUACGAGAGGACCGGAGUGGACGAACCUCUGGUGUUCCGGUUGUCACGCCAGUGGCAUUGCCGGGUAGCUAUGUUCGGAAGCGAUAACCGCUGAAAGCAUCUAAGCGGGAAGCGCGCCUCAAGAUGAGACUUCCCGGGGCACAAGCCCCCUAAAGGAACCAUGUAGACUACGUGGUUGAUAGGUCAGGUGUGUAAGUACAGCAAUGUAUUGAGCUAACUGAUACUAAUGAUCCGUGCGGCUUGACCAUAUAACCU